RNAcentral lists this ribosomal RNA (393 nucleotides) under uncultured bacterium. RNAcentral describes it as "partial 16S ribosomal RNA". It matches the Rfam family "Bacterial small subunit ribosomal RNA", at positions 523 to 918 of the family's 1533-position model. The record is from RNAcentral.
AUACGGAGGACGCGAGCGUUAUCCGGAUUCAUUGGGUUUAAAGGAUGCGCAGGCGGCCGUGCAAGUCAGCGGUGAAAGCCCGGGGCUCAACCCCGGAAGUGCCGUUGAUACUGCGUGGCUGGAAUGCGGUCGAGGCGGGCGGAACGUGGCGUGUAGCGGUGAAAAGCGUAGAUAUGCCACAGAACGCCGAUAGCGGAGGCAGCUCGCCAGGCCUGCAUUGACGCUCGGGCACGAAAGCGUGGGGAUCGAACAGGAUUAGAUACCCUGGUAGUCCACGCCGUAAACGAUGGGCGCUCGUCGUCGGCGACAGACAGUCGGCGGCCAAGCGAAAGCGAUAAGCGCCCCACCUGGGGAGUACGGUCGCAAGGCUGAAACUCAAAUGAAUUGACGGGG